RNAcentral lists this ribosomal RNA (253 nucleotides) under uncultured bacterium. Its description in RNAcentral is "partial 16S ribosomal RNA". It matches the Rfam family "Bacterial small subunit ribosomal RNA", at positions 524 to 776 of the family's 1533-position model. The record is from RNAcentral.
UACGAAGGGGGCUAGCGUUGUUCGGAAUUACUGGGCGUAAAGCGCACGUAGGCGGGUUGUUAAGUCUGAUGUGAAAGCCCUGGGCUCAACCUGGGAACUGCAUUGGAAACUGGCUUACUAGAGUGCGGUAGAGGGGUGCGGAAUUCCCGGUGUAGCAGUGAAAUGCGUAGAUAUCGGGAGGAACAUCCGUGGCGAAGGCGGCACCCUGGACCAGCACUGACACUGAGGCACGAAAGCGUGGGGAGCAAACAGG